AGUCUGGUGCCAGCACCCGCGGUAAUUCCAGCUCCACUAGCGUAUAUUAAAGUUGUUGCAGUUAAAAAGCUCGUAGUUGAACCUCUGUCUGGGGCUAGUUUUGGCUUUGGUCAGGCUAGUUCUAGGCAUCCGCCUACAAGACUUAGAGGGCAUUCAGUUGUUCACUAGGAGGAGUAGGCAUUUUACUUUGAAAAAAUUAGAGUGUUUAAGGCAGGCAAUCGCCCGCAUAUAUUAGCAUGGAAUAAUAGAAUAGGACACUUUUCCAUUUCGUUGGUUAUUGGAAUCGUGUAAUGAUUAAUAGGGACAGUUGUGGGCAUUUGUAUUUAAUUGUCAGAGGUGAAAUUCUUGGAUUUAUUAAAGACAAACUAACGCGAAAGCAUUUGCCAAGGAUGUUUUCAUUAAUCAAGAACGAAAGUUAGGGGAUCAAAGACGAUCAGAUACCGUCCUAGUCUUAACUAUAAACUAUUCCGACUCAAUGUUUGACUGGCUUAUAUAACCAGUUGAGCGUUGUAUGAGAAAUCAAAGUCUUUAGGUUCUGGGGGGAGUAUGGUUGCAAAGCUGAAACUUAAAGGAAUUGACGGAAGAGCACAACCAGGAGUGGAUUCUGCGGCUUAAUUUGACUCAACACGGGGAAACUUACCAGGUUAAAACAAUAGUGGGAUUGACAGUUUGAGAGCGCUUUCUUGAUUGGUUGGGUGGUGGUGCAUGGCCGUUCUUAGUUGGUGGAGUGAUUUGUCUGCUUAAUUGCGUUAACGAACGAGACCUUAACCUGCUUACUAGACUGGCGAUCAUCAAUCGUUAGCUCUUCUUAGGGGACUUUGGUUGUUUUAACUCCAAGGAAGUUUGAGGCAAUAACAGGUCUGUGAUGCCCUUAGAUAUCCUGGGCCGCACGCGUCAUACAAUGACUAGUUCAGAAAGUUUUCUCCUGACCCGAAAGGGGAUGGGUAAUCUUGAUAAUACUAGUCGUGUUAGGGAUCGAUCUUUGCAAUUAUAGAUCUUGAACGAGGAAUUCCUAGUAAGUGCGGUUCAUCAGACCGUACUGAUUACGUCCCUGCUCUUUGUACACACCGCCCGUCGCUUCUACCGAGUGGGUGGUCCGGUUAGAUAAUUGAACUUCGCAGGUAACUGAGAGGAAAGAUUAUCAAACCUAUCCACCUCGAGGAAGAAGAAGUCGUAACAAGG
RNAcentral lists this ribosomal RNA (1182 nucleotides) under metagenome. Its description in RNAcentral is "SSU rRNA". It matches the Rfam family "Eukaryotic small subunit ribosomal RNA", at positions 558 to 1799 of the family's 1831-position model. The record is from RNAcentral.